RNAcentral lists this ribosomal RNA (253 nucleotides) under uncultured bacterium. RNAcentral describes it as "partial 16S ribosomal RNA". It matches the Rfam family "Bacterial small subunit ribosomal RNA", at positions 524 to 776 of the family's 1533-position model. The record is from RNAcentral.
UACGGGGGGGGCAAGCGUUGUUCGGAUUCAUUGGGCGUAAAGGGUGCGUAGGCGGCGCGGUAAGUCGGGUGUGAAAGUCAAGGGCUCAACCCUUGGAUGCCGGUGGAUACUGCAGGGCUAGAGUCCGGAAGAGGCGAGUGGAAUUCCUGGUGUAGCGGUGAAAUGCGCAGAUAUCAGGAGGAACACCGAUGGCGAAGGCAGGUCUCUGGGCCACUACUGACGCUGAGAAGCGAAAGCAUGGGGAGCGAACAGG